RNAcentral lists this ribosomal RNA (433 nucleotides) under uncultured bacterium. RNAcentral's name for it is "partial 16S ribosomal RNA". It matches the Rfam family "Bacterial small subunit ribosomal RNA", at positions 29 to 507 of the family's 1533-position model. The record is from RNAcentral.
AACGAACGCUGGCGGCAUGCCUAACACAUGCAAGUCGAACGAGACCUUCGGGUUUAGUGGCGCACGGGUGCGUAACGCGUGGGAACCUGCCCUUAGGUUCGGAAUAACUCCUCGAAAGGGGUGUUAAUACCGGAUAAUGUCUUCGGACCAAAGAUUUAUCGCCUUUGGAUGGGCCCGCGUUGGAUUAGCUAGUUGGUAGGGUAAAAGCCUACCAAGGCGACGAUCCAUAGCUGGUCUGAGAGGAUGAUCAGCCACACUGGGACUGAGACACGGCCCAGACUCCUACGGGAGGCAGCAGUGGGGAAUAUUGGACAAUGGGCGAAAGCCUGAUCCAGCAAUGCCGCGUGAGUGAUGAAGGCCUUAGGGUUGUAAAGCUCUUUUACCCGGGAUGAUAAUGACAGUACCGGGAGAAUAAGCGCCGGCUAACUCCGUG